GGGUGCUUGUUUCCAUAGGAAAUGUUCACAACUAUCACCUUUGCGAAGCAUUAAUUUUUCCUUAACUAGGUCUAUUUUCUGGUGAUUCAAUAUCACAGGGUGUCAUUAUGUGAUUAGUAUUUUAAAUACAUUCACGUGGGCUUGAGCCAGCUAUCCCUAUUUUGCAAUCUUCUUCCUACAGAUCACCUGCUUCUACUCCUUGUUUAAGAUUAGGGUCUUUCUUUCAAAGCAGGGACUUUUGUAUAUCCUUAGCAUAUGUUCAUAAAUACAGACUUAUUAUGGACAAAUAAGGAUUGUAUGGUCCUUGGCCUUCUUCAUUUAUUUGCUUACAUUUUUUGUGUGCUUACAGAUGUUUCCAUACCUGCAGGAAGAAGAGAAUGGACUUCCACCUUGUGAAUAAUUCCAGGUUGUCCCAGUGAUAACUUUUAAGAGACAUGAUGUUCAGGUGAAAGGGAAAGAUUGUGUCCACUAAAGUGAAAACAUGGAGUCAACUCUAGGUGCUGGUAACCAGUUGCUUGGUGCAGCUAUCCAAGUUUCUCUUCCCAGGGUCAAUCUAUAGUUCAACAGUCCUUCUACAGUACCCAAUCUGUAGGUCAGCACUGAAGCUUAGAACAUGAAUAAAAAUAUGUGCUUUAUAUAUAUGUAUAUAUAUAUUUAUUUUUUUUUAAAUAUAGGCUUAUGGUGUCUGAGGCCUGAUUUAUUUCUAGUCAAUGCUCUUCAACUCCUCAUUGUCAGUACUAACAUCAGUAAUUGUUAUGUUACCAAGAACACCUAAGAAAACACAGGAGAACCUACAGGCGGAAUAAAGCGAUGGUGAUGAAUGGUAUUGCAGAUGUAAAAGCACUGUGGUGGUGGUGUUUCAAAUGUUGUUUCAAAUGUUGCAGUUCUCUGCUGCAAGCGAAACCUCCAAAACCUCCGUGGUGAUACAUGGACCAGGGAUAUUCCUGACUUAUAUCCACGACUGCUCACACAGAAACUUCUUAGGCAGUUCCCUCAUUACGUAGUAGUAACUGUGGCUGAGAAGAGUUGUCCCCAGAAACAGUCUCUUUAAGUAUUUCAGAGACCUCAUCACAAGUCUGUUUGCAUCCCAAAUACUACAGGAUAUAUUUCUCGUUUGAAAGAGAAGCCAUUGGCUCUCCUGGGGUUUAGGUCUCUGGGUGGUCUUGCAAGUGAGAAUGAGCACAAUUUGGCACCUGAGGCAGGCCAGAGCAGUACAGGUGCUGAGUACUGAGCAACUGCGAAGACACCAGGUGAAUAUUUUUUUAAAAAACCCAUUCAGAAUCUUCUUUUUCAAGACAAUUCCAAUGGAGAAGGACCAUGGGGGUUCUUAGGCUUUUGAAAAUUGGUAAAACUUUUUUGACUAGUACAUAGUAGAAAACUAGUUCCUGUUACAAUAUAGAGCUCAAUUAAUCACAAACUUUAAGUCUUAAAUUUCUUGCUGGCAAGCCAAGCAAGUUCUCAUUUAAACUGGUUUUUUAAACAUUUUUGAUUGUUUAAUAAAUAUUUAGUAAAUU
Molecule: long non-coding RNA, 1514 nt
Organism: Passer domesticus (house sparrow)
Lineage: Eukaryota; Metazoa; Chordata; Aves; Passeriformes; Passeridae
Exons: 3
Source: RefSeq, a predicted model, not a curated record